AGCGUUGUUCGGAAUUACUGGGCGUAAAGGGCUCGUAGGCGGCCAACUAAGUCAUACGUGAAAUCCCUCGGCUUAACCGGGGAACUGCGUCUGAUACUGGAUGGCUUGAGUUCGGGAGAGGGAUGCGGAAUUCCAGGUGUAGCGGUGAAAUGCGUAGAUAUCUGGAGGAACACCGGUGGCGAAGGCGGCAUCCUGGACCGAUACUGACGCUGAGGAGCGAAAGCCAGGGGAGCAAACGGG
RNAcentral lists this ribosomal RNA (240 nucleotides) under uncultured bacterium. Its description in RNAcentral is "partial 16S ribosomal RNA". It matches the Rfam family "Bacterial small subunit ribosomal RNA", at positions 537 to 776 of the family's 1533-position model. The record is from RNAcentral.